Molecule: ribosomal RNA, 494 nt
Filed under: uncultured bacterium
Lineage: Bacteria
Description: partial 16S ribosomal RNA
Rfam family: Bacterial small subunit ribosomal RNA
Source: RNAcentral
GACGAACGCUGGCGGCGUGCUUAACACAUGCAAGUCGAACGGAAAGGCCUGCUUUCCCUUGUGGAUUGCGGGUACUCGCGUGGCGAACGGGUGAGUAACACGUGAGUGAUCUGCCCCCAACUUGGGUAUAAGCCUGGGAAACUGGGUCUAAUUCCCGAUAGGACUGCAGGGUGGUGCCUGUGGUGGAAAACGAUUUUCUAGUGGUUGGGGAUGAGCUCGCGGCCUAUCAGCUUGUUGGUGGGGUAAUGGCCUACCAAGGCGGCGACGGGUAGCCGGCCUGGGAGGGUGGACGGCCACAUUGGGACGGAGAUACGGCCCAGACUCCUACGGGAGGCAGCAGUGGGGAAGAUUGCACAAUGGGCGGAAGCCUGAUGCAGCGACGCUGCGUGGGGGAUGACGGCCUUCGGGUUGUAAACUCCUUUCGACCGCGAGGAAGCCACCUGGUUGGAAGGGUGGUGACGGUAGUGGUAGAAGAAGCACCGGCUAACUACGUG